This 433-nucleotide ribosomal RNA is filed under the name uncultured bacterium. RNAcentral describes it as "partial 16S ribosomal RNA". It matches the Rfam family "Bacterial small subunit ribosomal RNA", at positions 29 to 507 of the family's 1533-position model. The record is from RNAcentral.
AACGAACGCUGGCGGCAGGCCUAACACAUGCAAGUCGAGCGAGACCUUCGGGUCUAGCGGCGGACGGGUGAGUAACGCGUGGGAACGUGCCCUUUUCUACGGAAUAGCCUCGGGAAACUGAGCUUAAUACCGUAUACGCCCUUUGGGGGAAAGAUUUAUCGGAGAAGGAUCGGCCCGCGUUGGAUUAGGUAGUUGGUGGGGUAAUGGCCUACCAAGCCUACGAUCCAUAGCUGGUUUGAGAGGAUGAUCAGCCACACUGGGACUGAGACACGGCCCAGACUCCUACGGGAGGCAGCAGUGGGGAAUCUUAGACAAUGGGGGCAACACUGAUCUAGCCAUGCCGCGUGAGUGAUGAAGGCCUUAGGGUUGUAAAGCUCUUUCAGCUGGGAAGAUAAUGACGGUACCAGCAGAAGAAGCCCCGGCUAACUCCGUG